Molecule: ribosomal RNA, 476 nt
Filed under: Brachymonas sp. canine oral taxon 015
Lineage: Bacteria; Pseudomonadati; Pseudomonadota; Betaproteobacteria; Burkholderiales; Comamonadaceae
Description: bacterial SSU rRNA
Rfam family: Bacterial small subunit ribosomal RNA
Source: RNAcentral
GAGUUUGAUUCUGGCUCAGAUUGAACGCUGGCGGCAUGCUUUACACAUGCAAGUCGAACGGCAGCACAAGGAGCUUGCUCCUGGGUGGCGAGUGGCGAACGGGUGAGUAAUGUAUCGGAACGUGCCUGGUAGUGGGGGAUAACCACUCGAAAGAGUGGCUAAUACCGCAUGAGAUCUCUGGAUGAAAGCGGGGGACCUUUGGGCCUCGCGCUACUGGAGCGGCCGAUAUCAGAUUAGGUUGUUGGUGGGGUAAAGGCCUACCAAGCCUGCGAUCUGUAGCUGGUCUGAGAGGACGACCAGCCACACUGGGACUGAGACACGGCCCAGACUCCUACGGGAGGCAGCAGUGGGGAAUUUUGGACAAUGGGCGCAAGCCUGAUCCAGCAAUGCCGCGUGCAGGACGAAGGCCCUCGGGUUGUAAACUGCUUUUGUACAGAACGAAAAGUCUCUGGCUAAUACCUGGGGAUCAUGACGGU